GAUGAACGCUGGCGGCGUGCCUAAUACAUGCAAGUCGAGCGAACAGAUGAGGCGCUUGCUCCUCUGACGUUAGCGGCGGACGGGUGAGUCACACGUGGAUAACCUACCUAUAAGACUGGGAUAACUUCGGGAAACCGGAUCUCAUACCGGAUAAUAUAUUGAACCGCAUGGUUCAAUAGUGAAAGACGGUUUUGCUGUCACUUAUAGAUGGUUCCGCGCCGUAUUAGCUAGUUGGUAAGGUAACGGCUUACCAAGGCAACGAUGCGUAGCCGACCUGAGAGGGUGAUCGGCCACACUGGAACUGAGACACGGUCCAGACUCCUACGGGAGGCAGCAGUAGGGAAUCUUGCGCAAUGGGCGAAAGCCUGACGGAGCAACGCCGCGUGAGUGAUGAAGGUCUUCGGAUCGUAAAGCUCUGUUAUUAGGGAAGAACAAAUGUGUAAGUAACUAUGCACGUCUUGACGGUACCUAAUCAGAAAGCCACGGCUAACUACGUG
This 497-nucleotide ribosomal RNA is filed under the name uncultured bacterium. RNAcentral's name for it is "partial 16S ribosomal RNA". It matches the Rfam family "Bacterial small subunit ribosomal RNA", at positions 28 to 507 of the family's 1533-position model. The record is from RNAcentral.